Molecule: long non-coding RNA, 1319 nt
Organism: Prunus dulcis (almond)
Lineage: Eukaryota; Viridiplantae; Streptophyta; Magnoliopsida; Rosales; Rosaceae
Exons: 2
Source: RefSeq, a predicted model, not a curated record
UCACGGGUAGAGCCAAGUGCUUGGAGCCGUGUGUGGUAGCAUUUAGCCAUGAGAGAGAGAGAGAGAGAGAGAGAGAGAGAGAGAGAGAGAGUGUCUUGAAUGUGGCCAUGUAUUUAUAGGGCUUUAGCCAUCUAGAAUUUUUCAAAGAAUAAUUCCUAUUUGAAAGGAUCAUUUCUCCCUAACACAAGAAAGCUCUCGUGGCCCAACACUCCAUCUCAUAUAUUCCGUGUGGCGCCAUCUCUCCUCAGCUGUUUAGCAUCUCUCUUGGUGAGCUUUGAGGUUCUAGGUAUUGAUUUUAACUUUUCUUUUUAGUUUGGGUGUAAGUUAGGUUUGAAUUUGUACCGAUCUAUUAAGUUUUAUAUGGAGGAUGUUUUGAAUUUUUUGGAUGGUUUGCGUCUGAUAAUUUUCAGGUUUUGAUUUGGGGUUAAAAAUUUUGUUUUGGAUGAUUUGGGUCAGAUAAUCUUUGUUCAUGUGCGCAAAGGAUGUUUAAGAAGCUCCUUUGGGGGGGUUUAGAGGUGGCUAAUGCUCUGAUUUUUAGUGUCCAGGCACUCAGAGGACAGGGUUUGACACUUACUAUUCUAGCUUGUAGGAGUACAAAGGUCUUGUCUUCUGCCUUCCUCUCUAGGUCUCUUUUUUUUUUCUUUUUUUUUUUAAAUAAUAAAAUUUUAUUUAUUUAUCUAAAAGUUGAAUGUGGGUGCAGAAGUCUCAAGUAUCUUCUCUGUUUGUAUCUGACAGCCACUUGAGGAGAAUGCCAAGUUAAAACUUGCUCAAUUUGCUGCCUGCGUCCUUUUGCCUUUGGCAAUUUCUCUUCUCUUUUGUCUGUUUUAGUGUUUAAUGGAGCAAAUACCCUUGUUGCUUUGGUGCGUUUACAACAACUGAAAUUAAUAAGUUUCCCUAUUUAUUAUCAUCUUUUUUCCAGUGUUUUUUAAAUUUCCCCUGUUGCUGUAGAAUGAAUAUAAUAACGGUGAGAAGAAUUAUGAACUGUGGGAGUUCCUUUUAAUCACGAUCUGGUAGUUUUGAUGGAUUACCAACUUAUUUUAUUGAUGAUUUGUUAAUGGUGAAACUUUGUGUUAAUUCGUAAGUGUUGUUUGUUAUACAGGGUUCUUUGUUAAGGCUUUUGGAUGAAUGUAGCUGCCGUUUUGUAUUUUUAUCUUUAUGUGCAUUUUUAUCAUGGGUUGUAACCAUAAGUAUAAUUUGGAUUUCUUGCUUUAUGUUUCUUUGGUUCUAUAAUGGUUUGCAAAAUGUUUUAUUUCCUUGGUCGGUUGAUGAUUGUAAUUUGUAUUAAUUUGUGAUUGAUUUAGCUAUAAACAUUUAGACUA